Molecule: ribosomal RNA, 467 nt
Filed under: uncultured bacterium
Lineage: Bacteria
Description: partial 16S ribosomal RNA
Rfam family: Bacterial small subunit ribosomal RNA
Source: RNAcentral
GAUGAACGCUGGCGGCGCGCCUAACACAUGCAAGUCGAACGAUUAAAGCACCUUCGGGUGUGUAUAAAGUGGCGAACGGCUGAGUAACACGUGGGCAACCUGCCCCUUUCAUUGGGAUAGCCACGGGAAACCGUGGAUAAUACCGAAUACUUCGAGACUUCCGCAUGGAAGACUCGAGAAAGCUCCGGCGGAGAGGGAUGGGGCAGCGGCCUGUUAGCUUGUUGGUGGGGUAACGGCCUACCAAGGCAAUGAUGGGCAGCUGGGUUGAGAGACCGACCAGCCAGAUUGGGACUGAGACACGGCCCAGACUCCUACGGGAGGCAGCAGUGGGGAAUCUUGCACAAUGGGCGAAAGCCUGAUGCAGCGACGCCGCGUGCGGGAUGAAGGCCUUCGGGUUGUAAACCGCUUUCAGCAGGGACGAGGCGAAAGUGACGGUACCUGCAGAAGAAGCCCCGGCUAACUACGUG